UACGUAGGUGGCGAGCGUUGUCCGGAUUUAUUGGGCGUAAAGCGCCCGCAGGCGGCUUGAUAAGUUUCAGGUGAAAUCUCCUGGCUUAACUGGGAGGGGUCCUGGAAAACUGUCAGGCUUGAGGCAGGGAGAGGGAUGUGGAAUUCCCGGUGUAGUAGUGAAAUGCGUAGAUAUCGGGAGGAACACCUGUGGCGAAGGCGGCCCCCUGGUUGGAUACUGACGCUGAGACGCGAAAGCGUGGGGAGCAAACAGG
RNAcentral lists this ribosomal RNA (253 nucleotides) under uncultured bacterium. RNAcentral's name for it is "partial 16S ribosomal RNA". It matches the Rfam family "Bacterial small subunit ribosomal RNA", at positions 524 to 776 of the family's 1533-position model. The record is from RNAcentral.